Molecule: long non-coding RNA, 474 nt
Organism: Falco peregrinus (peregrine falcon)
Lineage: Eukaryota; Metazoa; Chordata; Aves; Falconiformes; Falconidae
Exons: 2
Source: RefSeq, a predicted model, not a curated record
UCAAACCAGAAGAGUCACUUACUGAAGCACCAUCCUGGAGCAGGCUAGCCCACAGUCCCAGUGGUACAGCUGCUGAAUGACUGGUACUUUCAGCUGGAUGCAGUCAACUGUAGUGAAAACACCCCAUGGGUCAGCAAUGCGGUGGUUUCAGUUUCAGAAACGCCCUAACCACUCAAAGGACUUGAAGAGUUGUGCCUGUUACCGCUACUUCAAUGUCCAUCAAGGCAAGUUAAUUAGAAAGGGCUUUUCUCAAUAACCUCACCUUUGAUCUAGAAAGGACCUUUGAAAAGUUGUGUUCACACAAGGUCAACUACAUUAAGAUGGGAUUAGAAACGCAUUUGACAUUUGGACUGCUCUAGUUUUGAUGUAACAUUAUUUAUAUAACUUUUUAGAUAAUGUUUGUAACCUUAUAUUAUUUUUAACAAAGCUAUAGCCUACUGUAGGGGUAAGCCAAUAUAGAUAUUCUGGAUGCUU